This 448-nucleotide ribosomal RNA is filed under the name uncultured bacterium. RNAcentral's name for it is "partial 16S ribosomal RNA". It matches the Rfam family "Bacterial small subunit ribosomal RNA", at positions 329 to 794 of the family's 1533-position model. The record is from RNAcentral.
UUCCAGACUCCUACGGGAGGCAGCAGUGGGGAAUAUUGCACAAUGGGGGAAACCCUGAUGCAGCGACGCCGCGUGAGUGAGGAAGUAUUUCGGUAUGUAAAGCUCUAUCAGCAGGGAAGAAAAUGACGGUACCUGACUAAGAAGCCCCGGCUAACUACGUGCCAGCAGCCGCGGUAAUACGUAGGGGGCAAGCGUUAUCCGGAUUUACUGGGUGUAAAGGGAGCGUAGACGGACUUGCAAGUCUGAUGUGAAAAGCCGGGGCCCAACCCCGGAACUGCAUUGGAAACUGUAUAUCUAGAGUGUCGGAGAGGCAAGUGGAAUUCCUGGUGUAGCGGUGAAAUGCGUAGAUAUCAGGAGGAACACCAGUGGCGAAGGCGGCCUGCUGGGCUUUUACUGACGCUGAGGCUCGAAAGUGUGGGGAGCAAACAGGAUUAGAUACCCUUGUAAC